This 790-nucleotide ribosomal RNA is filed under the name Zschokkella compressis. RNAcentral describes it as "SSU rRNA". It matches the Rfam family "Eukaryotic small subunit ribosomal RNA", at positions 342 to 982 of the family's 1831-position model. Lineage: Eukaryota; Metazoa; Cnidaria; Myxozoa; Bivalvulida; Myxidiidae. The record is from RNAcentral.
UACCAAGGUGAUAACGGGUAACGGGGAAUCAGGGUUCGAUUCCGGAGAGGGAGCCUGAGAAACGGCUACCACAUCCAAGGACGGCAGCAGGCGCGCAAAUUACCCAAUCCAGACACUGGGAGGUGGUGACGAGAAAUACCAGGUCGGUCCCAAAAGGAUUCGACACUGGAAUGAGUUUAAUUUAAAAAUUUAAACGAGAAACAACUGGAGGGCAAGUCUGGUGCCAGCAGCCGCGGUAAUUCCAGCUCCAGUAGUGUAUCCAAACGUUGCUGCGGUUAAAACGCUCGUAGUUGGACAAGAGAGUAACUUGGUGCGGGCGGGGAGUGUGAAGCUCUAUGUGUUUGCCUGUUGUGGUUGGUGUUGCUUGUAUUGUGUAAAAGCUUUAUGAGUGCAUUGGCCCUUCAGGAUGUAGCAUAGUAGUGCACUUCUCGACCAUGCUGCCAGGUUGCUUGUAAUGUUUCGUGAGAAUGGUGCAUGGUCUUUAUUGUAUUGUGUACUGUGUCUUACGUAGUGUGCCUUGAAUAAAUCAGAGUGCUCAAAGCAAGCUAUCGCUUGAAUGUUAAUAGCAUGGAACGAAUGUGUUGUGAGAGUGUGCUAGUGACUGGGCUUCGUGCAUGGUCCUAGUGCAUAGCACCAACCGCGAAGCGGAACAUUGGUUGCCGACUUCGGGUGAGGAUUAAGAGGGGCAUUUGGGGGCAUUAGUAUUUGGCCGCGAGAGGUGAAAUUCUUGGACCGGCCAAGGACUAACAAGUGCGAAAGCAUUUGCCAAGUAUGUUCCCUUUAAUCAAGA